Molecule: ribosomal RNA, 402 nt
Filed under: uncultured bacterium
Lineage: Bacteria
Description: bacterial SSU rRNA
Rfam family: Bacterial small subunit ribosomal RNA
Source: RNAcentral
UGGGGAAUCUUGCACAAUGGGGGCAACCCUGAUGCAGCGACGCCGCGUGAGCGAUGAAGCCCUUCGGGGCGUAAAGCUCUUUCGACCGGAACGAUAAUGACGGUACCGGGAGAAGAAGCUGCGGCUAACUACGUGCCAGCAGCCGCGGUAAUACGUAGGCAGCAAGCGUUGUUCGGAGUUACUGGGCGUAAAGAGUGCGUAGGCGGUUUUCUAAGUUCGGUGUGAAAUCUCCCGGCUUAACGGGGAGGGUGCGCCGAAGACUGGGAAGCUGGAGUGUGGUAAAGGCAGGCGGAAUUCCUGGUGUAGCGGUGAAAUGCGUAGAGAUCAGGAGGAACACCGGCGGUGUAGACGGCUUGCUAGACCAUAACUGACGCUGAGGCACGAAAGCGUGGGUAGCAAACA